Molecule: ribosomal RNA, 254 nt
Filed under: uncultured bacterium
Lineage: Bacteria
Description: partial 16S ribosomal RNA
Rfam family: Bacterial small subunit ribosomal RNA
Source: RNAcentral
UACGUAGGGGGCGAGCGUUGUCCGGAUUCAUUGGGCGUAAAGCGCUUUAAGGCGGUUCGCUAAGUCGGGUGUGAAACCUCCAGGCUCAACCUGGAGACGCCACUCGAUACUGGCGUGACUAGAGUUCGGUAGGGGACCACGGAAUUCCUGGUGUAGCGGUGAAAUGCGCAGAUAUCAGGAGGAACGCCAGUGGCGAAGGCGGUGGUCUGGGCCGAUACUGACGCUGUAGAGCGAAAGCGUGGGGAGCGAACAGG